CUGAGUACGGCGGAACACGUGAAAUUCCGUCGGAAUCCGGGAGGACCAUCUCCCAAGGCUAAAUACUCCCUAGUGACCGAUAGUGAACCAGUACCGUGAGGGAAAGGUGAAAAGCACCCCGGAAGGGGAGUGAAACAGUUCCUGAAACCGUGUGCCUACAAGUAGUUAGAGCCCGUUAAUGGGUGAUAGCGUGCCUUUUGUAGAAUGAACCGGCGAGUUACGAUUUGUUGCAAGGUUAAGCGGAAAAAGCGGAGCCGUAGCGAAAGCGAGUCUGAAUAGGGCGCAUAAGUAACAGGUCGUAGACCCGAAACCAGGUGAUCUACCCAUGUCCAGGAUGAAGGUAAGGUAAUACUUACUGGAGGUCCGAACCCACGCACGUUGAAAAGUGCGGGGAUGAGGUGUGGGUAGCGGAGAAAUUCCAAUCGAACUUGGAGAUAGCUGGUUCUCUCCGAAAUAGCUUUAGGGCUAGCCUCGAGGUAAAGAGUCAUGGAGGUAGAGCACUGUUUGGACUAGGGGCCCUUCUCGGGUUACCGAAUUCAGAUAAACUCCGAAUGCCAUGUACUUAUACUCGGGAGUCAGACUGCGAGUGAUAAGAUCCGUAGUCGAAAGGGAAACAGCCCAGACCACCAGUUAAGGUCCCCAAAUAUAUGUUAAGUGGAAAAGGAUGUGGGGUUGCUUAGACAACCAGGAUGUUGGCUUAGAAGCAGCCACCAUUGAAAGAGUGCGUAAUAGCUCACUGGUCGAGUGACCCCGCGCCGAAAAUGUACCGGGGCUAAACAUAUUACCGAAACUGUGGAUGAACCUCUUUAGAGGUUCGUGGUAGGAGAGCGUUCUAAGGGCGGUGAAGUCAGACCGGAAGGACUGGUGGAGCGCUUAGAAGUGAGAAUGCCGGUAUGAGUAGCGAAAGAAGGGUGAGAAUCCCUUCCACCGAAUAUCUAAGGUUUCCUGAGGAAGGCUCGUCCGCUCAGGGUUAGUCGGGACCUAAGCCGAGGCCGAUAGGCGUAGGCGAUGGACAACAGGUAGAGAUUCCUGUAC
Molecule: ribosomal RNA, 1035 nt
Filed under: Listeria monocytogenes
Lineage: Bacteria; Bacillati; Bacillota; Bacilli; Caryophanales; Listeriaceae
Description: partial 23S ribosomal RNA
Rfam family: Bacterial large subunit ribosomal RNA
Source: RNAcentral